This 253-nucleotide ribosomal RNA is filed under the name uncultured bacterium. Its description in RNAcentral is "partial 16S ribosomal RNA". It matches the Rfam family "Bacterial small subunit ribosomal RNA", at positions 524 to 776 of the family's 1533-position model. The record is from RNAcentral.
UACGGGGGGGGCAAGCGUUGUUCGGAAUUCCUGGGCGUAAAGGGUUCGUAGGUGGCUCGCUAAGCCAGACGCGAAAUCCCUCAGCUUAACUGGGGAACUGCGUCUGGGACUGGAGAGCUCGAGUGCAGGAGAGGAAUGCGGAAUUCCAGGUGUAGCGGUGAAAUGCGUAGAUAUCUGGAGGAACACCGGUGGCGAAGGCGGCAUUCUGGACUGCAGCUGACACUGAGGAACGAAAGCCAGGGGAGCAAACGGG